CUACGGGUCGCUGCAGUAGGGAAUAUUGGACAAUGGGCGAAAGCCUGAUCCAGCAACGCCGCGUGUGCGAUGACGGCCUUCGGGUUGUAAAGCACUUUUAGAGGAGAUGAGAAAGGACAGUAUCCUCAGAAUAAGCCUCGGCGAACUACGUGCCAGGCAGCCGCGGUAAACCGUAGGAGGCAAGCGUUAUCCGGAUUUAUUGGGCGUAAAGCGCGUGCAGGCGGUCUAGCAAGUUGGAUGUGAAAGCUCCCGGCUGAACCGGGAGAGGUCGUUCAAUACUGUUAGACUAGAGAAUGGGAGAGGGAGGUGGAAUUCUGGGUGUAGUGGUGAAAUGCGUAGAUAUCCAGAGGAACACCAGUGGCGAAAGCGGCCUCCUGGACCAUUUCUGACGCUAAGACGCGAAAGCUAGGGUAGCAAACGGGAUUAGAUACCCCGGUAGUC
This 441-nucleotide ribosomal RNA is filed under the name uncultured bacterium. RNAcentral describes it as "partial 16S ribosomal RNA". It matches the Rfam family "Bacterial small subunit ribosomal RNA", at positions 339 to 795 of the family's 1533-position model. The record is from RNAcentral.